GCUUUGGUGGCCUACUUGUUAGAGCGUCCGUCUCGUGUGCGGGAGGCCGUGUGUUCGAUCCCCGGCUGAGUCA
Non-coding RNA from Potamilus streckersoni, 73 nucleotides. The record is from the annotation of a GenBank genome assembly. Lineage: Eukaryota; Metazoa; Mollusca; Bivalvia; Unionida; Unionidae.